Molecule: ribosomal RNA, 253 nt
Filed under: uncultured bacterium
Lineage: Bacteria
Description: partial 16S ribosomal RNA
Rfam family: Bacterial small subunit ribosomal RNA
Source: RNAcentral
UACAGAGGGGGCAAGCGUUGUUCGGAAUUACUGGGCGUAAAGGGCGCGUAGGCGGCCCGUUAAGUCGAACGUGAAAUCCCCAGGCUCAACCUGGGAACUGCGUCCGAUACUGGCGGGCUUGAAUCCGGGAGAGGGAUGCGGAAUUCCAGGUGUAGCGGUGAGAUGCGUAGAUAUCAGGAGGAACACCAGCGGCGAAGGCGGCGCUCUGGGCCGGAACUGACGCUGAGGAGCGAAAGCGUGGGUAGCAAACAGG